CAUCAGGGCAGGUGGAAGGAUCAAGAGCAGUGGUUCCCAACCUGUGGGCCGUGGCCCAUAAAAAUCCGUUGUACGAUGUGACCCAGGAAGAGCAAGAAAAAUAGUAGAGGUGAAUAACUGGAUCCACAGAUGGUGUCAGGAAGAACAAUCUGGUUUUCUGGACCAUGAUCUGCUUUUCCAGGAAGAUGGGAUACUGGCAUGGAAUCGGUGGCACCUCACGAAGUAGGAAGGAAUGAUUUUGCUCAAAGACUGGCCAUCCUGAUCAAGCAGACUUUAAAAUAGGUUGUGUGGGGGUGGGUGACAUUAUCCUUGGGAACAGCAGUUUAUCAAGGCCUGGAGUGAAUGGACAAAAGGCUAAAGAGAAGGUUGACAAACACAAGUACCAAGCAAUGAGGGGACAACAUUCUCAAAUAAACAGUUGAGGGGAAUGUCCUAUGGGCUUAGAUAUCCAGAGUAUGGGAAAUGCCCAGAGUAUGGGCAAUACCAGAGCUUAGCUGAGCAUCCACUCCUGUUUUUCCCAAAGCUACCUUGAUUUAAAUAGCAUUUUGUUGUUGAUGUUAUUAAAGCCUUUGGAUCAGA
Molecule: long non-coding RNA, 579 nt
Organism: Anolis carolinensis (green anole)
Lineage: Eukaryota; Metazoa; Chordata; Lepidosauria; Squamata; Anolidae
Exons: 2
Source: RefSeq, a predicted model, not a curated record